UGCUUAACACAUGCAAGUCGAACGGAAAGGCCCAGCUUGCUGGGUACUCGAGUGGCGAACGGGUGAGUAACACGUGGGUGAUCUGCCCCUGACUCUGGGAUAAGCCUGGGAAACUGGGUCUAAUACCGGAUAUUCAUUUUUCCUCGCAUGGGGAUUGGUGGAAAGCUUUUGCGGUUGGGGAUGGGCCCGCGGCCUAUCAGCUUGUUGGUGGGGUAAUGGCCUACCAAGGCGACGACGGGUAGCCGACCUGAGAGGGUGAUCGGCCACACUGGGACUGAGACACGGCCCAGACUCCUACGGGAGGCAGCAGUGGGGAAUAUUGCACAAUGGGCGCAAGCCUGAUGCAGCGACGCCGCGUGAGGGAUGACGGCCUUCGGGUUGUAAACCUCUUUCAGCUCCGACGAAGCGCAAGUGACGUAGGAGC
This 424-nucleotide ribosomal RNA is filed under the name Gordonia aichiensis. Its description in RNAcentral is "bacterial SSU rRNA". It matches the Rfam family "Bacterial small subunit ribosomal RNA", at positions 45 to 482 of the family's 1533-position model. Lineage: Bacteria; Bacillati; Actinomycetota; Actinomycetes; Mycobacteriales; Gordoniaceae. The record is from RNAcentral.